CCCUUAGAUGUUCUGGGCUGCACGCGCGCUACACUGAAGCUAUCAACACGUUUUCCCUCCCUGAGAAGGGCGGGUAACCUUUUGAAUCAGCUUCGUGGUAGGGAUCGGGGCUUGCAAUUGUUCCCCGUGAACCAGGAAUUCCUAGUAGACGCGAGUCAUAAGCUCGCAUCGAUUAAGUCCCUGCCCUUUGUACAUACCGCCCGUCGCUACUACCGAUUGAACGUUUUAGUGAGGCAUUUGGACCGACGCAUCUCAGUUUAACCGCUGGUUUGUGUUGGAAAGACUUCCAAACUUGAGCGUUUAGAGGAAGUAAAAGUCGUAACA
This 324-nucleotide ribosomal RNA is filed under the name uncultured eukaryote. Its description in RNAcentral is "partial 18S ribosomal RNA". It matches the Rfam family "Eukaryotic small subunit ribosomal RNA", at positions 1470 to 1796 of the family's 1831-position model. The record is from RNAcentral.